RNAcentral lists this ribosomal RNA (591 nucleotides) under Fusarium sp. VSMU-T127. RNAcentral describes it as "eukaryotic LSU rRNA". It matches the Rfam family "Eukaryotic large subunit ribosomal RNA", at positions 1 to 602 of the family's 3401-position model. Lineage: Eukaryota; Fungi; Ascomycota; Sordariomycetes; Hypocreales; Nectriaceae. The record is from RNAcentral.
UUGACCUCGAAUCAGGUAGGAAUACCCGCUGAACUUAAGCAUAUCAAUAAGCGGAGGAAAAGAAACCAACAGGGAUUGCCCCAAUAACGGCGAGUGAAGCGGCAACAGCUCAAAUUUGAAAUCUGGCUCUCGGGCCCGAGUUGUAAUUUGUAGAGGAUGCUUUUGGUGAGGUGCCUUCCGAGUUCCCUGGAACGGGACGCCAUAGAGGGUGAGAGCCCCGUCUGGUUGGACACCGAUCCUCUGUAAAGCUCCUUCGACGAGUCGAGUAGUUUGGGAAUGCUGCUCUAAAUGGGAGGUAUAUGUCUUCUAAAGCUAAAUACCGGCCAGAGACCGAUAGCGCACAAGUAGAGUGAUCGAAAGAUGAAAAGAACUUUGAAAAGAGAGUUAAAAAGUACGUGAAAUUGUUGAAAGGGAAGCGCUUGUGACCAGACUUGGGCUUGGUUGAUCAUCCGGGGUUCUCCCCGGUGCACUCUUCCGGCUCAGGCCAGCAUCAGUUCGCCCUGGGGGAUAAAGGCUUCGGGAAUGUGGCUCUCUCCGGGGAGUGUUAUAGCCCGCUGCGUAAUACCCUGUGGCGGACUGAGGUUCGCGCAU